UUAAAUCUGCGUAAGAUACGAGAAGGGAAGAAACAGAUGAAUGUUUAAGAGAAUACUUUCUUUGUUCCCUGAUGUAUGUCUCUUUCCAUGAUAGCAGUCUAAAUUUAUUAAUCUUGUGCUUUUUGUCUCAUGGGGUUCAAAUGAGAAUUUUCUUAGAAAAUCCGAUCAGUUAGCUACGUGGCAGCAUUAACAAGUCCAAACUGUAGACCAUGCGAGACCUGUCUUUGUUGUGUACUUUAAUAUAUGUAUACAAACAAGAGAUUGCAAACAAAACGUACUUCUCCCGUUUGGUCUUUCAUCUGUGUAACCGGUAAUCAUGGGAAACAGUAUCUUUGCAAAUUGCUGCAGGCAUGUCACUGAUCUCAUCUUUCAGACACACAGCUUUAAUUCGGCUGAGAGGGCCCCUCUCUUACCCAAUUCUCCCGUUAGUUGCACUGCAUCUCCUGAUGUCUCCCUCCCUGUUCAAAUGAACUUAGAUGUCUCGGAAGCUUGCAAGUGCAUGCCACUGUAUCCGGACAUUAUUCUCAGCAAUGCAUCGAAUGAAAGUCUGCAAAAAUGGCCAGAAUAUGUUCAAGGCUUACCCAAGGAGAAGGGCAGUGAAGAAAUGAUGAAGGCCUGUGAAAACAGCUGCUUGAAACUCAGUGUUGCUGUUUCUAGCUUAAUAAAGCAGACAGAGGCAUCUUCUGCUCUGGCUGUCCUUCCUGGCGACCUUGAGAAAGGAUCAGCUACACAGUUAAAUCAUUCUCAGUCACUUGAGGCCUGCCAGAAUUGCGGGAAACUUGAGGCCAAUGGCCUAGACUCUAAAGCGUUCAACCAGGAAGAGCCUGUGGUACCAGCUGACAAAAGAGCUGCAGCCCACAGAAUGCCUAUUGUUGAUUGGCAGCAAAACCGAGACAUCUCUGAGAGGGGAAAAGCCUCCAGUUUGGAACCAUCAUUAGCAGAUCCAGGUGUCCAGUUAAAAGACAAAACUUAUGCUUCUAACUUGGGAAGCUGUGAAAUGGCUGAAACGCCUAAAUCUAACCACUCUUUAAAGGCAGAGAGAAGCCAGAAUAUACAAGAGAUGGUCUUGUCUGUCAUUACGGAUGAGAAUACACACAUGAUCCAGGAUAAAAGCACUUGUUACUUACUGACCAAUCCUGCAGUUGGCCUAGAUGGCAAGUUAAACGUUGAUCCUGAUCUUGAAGUGAGCAUACUGCCAUCAAAGCAGAAGAAGAGGAGGAGGAAAAGGAAACUUUGUUUUUUAGAACAUCCGUCUGGCAUGGCUUUAAUGAACGGUGACGGCUCUUACGAGCACCUCAAGGAGGAAACCAGGCAGAAUGGCCACGAGGAGGCUGACCCAGGGGAUGAUGCAAAUGACCAGGAAGUUAUCGUCAUACAGGACACUGGCUUCACCGUCAAGAUUUACGCUCCGGGAAUAGAACCUUUUUCCCUGCAGGUCUCUCCUCAAGAGAUGGUGCAGGAGAUCCACCAAGUGCUGAUGGACAGAGAGGACACCUGUCACCGAACCUGCUUUUCUCUGCAGCUGGAUGGGAAUGUCCUGGAUAACUUUGCAGAGCUGAAAACCAUUGAAGGGCUGCAGGAGGGGUCGGUGCUGAAAGUGGUUGAAGAGCCCUACACAGUACGGGAAGCCAGGAUACACGUGCGUCACAUUCGGGACCUUCUGAAGAGCCUUGACCCGUCCGAUGCUUUCAAUGGCGUGGACUGCAAUUCGCUCUCAUUCCUGAGCAUCUUCACGGAAGGAGACCUAGGAGACAGUGGGAAACGGAAGAAGAAAGGUACUGAAAUGGAACAAAUUGACUGCACCCCUCCGGAACAUAUCCUGCCAGGUGGCAAAGAGAGACCUCUUUGUGCCCUCCAGCCCCAGAACAGAGACUGGAAGCCUUUGCAGUGCCUAAAAGUCUUGACCAUGAGUGGCUGGAACCCCCCUCCUGGCAACCGGAAAAUGCAUGGAGACCUCAUGUAUCUGUACAUCAUCACUGUGGAGGAUCGACACGUUAGUAUCACUGCGUCCACCAGAGGAUUUUACCUGAAUCAGUCGACAGCAUAUAAUUUUAAUCCUAAACCUGCCAAUCCGAGUUUUCUCAGUCAUUCCCUGGUGGAACUCCUUAACCAGAUCAGCCCGACCUUCAAAAGAAAUUUCGCAGCUCUUCAGAAGAAACGGGUUCAGAGGCAUCCCUUUGAAAGGAUAGCCACCCCCUUCCAGGUUUACAGUUGGACGGCACCACAGGCAGAGCACGCCAUGGACUGCGUGAGGGCGGAAGAUGCUUAUACGUCAAGGCUGGGCUAUGAAGAGCACAUACCUGGACAGACCAGAGACUGGAACGAGGAGUUGCAAACCACACGAGAGCUACCCCGCAAGAAUCUGCCAGAGAGGCUGCUGAGAGAACGAGCCAUUUUCAAGGUCCACAGCGACUUCACAGCGGCUGCUACCAGAGGAGCCAUGGCCGUCAUCGAUGGCAACGUCAUGGCCAUCAAUCCCAGUGAGGAGACCAAGAUGCAGAUGUUCAUCUGGAACAACAUUUUCUUCAGCCUGGGCUUCGAUGUCCGCGACCACUACAAGGACUUCGGGGGGGACGUCGCCGCCUACGUGGCGCCCACCAACGACCUCAACGGGGUGCGGACCUAUAACGCGGUGGACGUUGAGGGGCUGUACACGUUGGGGACCGUGGUGGUGGAUUACCGGGGUUACCGGGUCACGGCACAGUCCAUCAUUCCAGGGAUCUUAGAACGAGAGCAGGAGCAGAGCGUCAUCUACGGGUCGAUAGACUUCGGCAAGACCAUUGUCUCUCACCCCAAGUACCUGGAGCUGCUGGAGAAGACCAGCCGGCCCCUCAAGAUCCAGAAGCACAAAGUUCUGAAUGACAAGAACGAGGAGGUGGAGCUGUGCUCGUCUGUGGAGUGCAAAGGCAUCAUUGGCAAUGAUGGACGCCACUAUAUCCUUGACCUGCUCCGCACCUUUCCCCCCGACCUGAACUUUUUGCCGGUCGAAGGGGAGGAGAUGCCGGAAGAAUGUAAGAAAAUGGGAUUUCCCAAGCAGCACAGGCACAAGCUUUGCUGUCUCAGGCAGGAGCUGGUGGAUGCCUUUGUAGAGCACAGAUAUCUCUUAUUCAUGAAACUGGCUGCUCUGCAGCUGAUGCAGCAGAAGGCCAACAAGCAGGAGAACUUGGGCGUGCUGGAGAAUGGGGCCUCCGCAGAGAAUGGAACAGUGGGAAGCGAGAAAUCGGAAUCAGAUGAUAAAAUAGAGGAGAACGUGGCUGGAUUAGAUCAGGUUAAAGAGCUGGCAGAGACCAUUGCAUCUGAUGAUGGAACAGUGGAUCCCAAAAGCAGAGAGGUGAUUCAAAAUGCCUGCAAAGCCGUGGGUUCCAUCAGCGACACGUCCUUUGACAUUCGGUUUAACCCGGAUAUCUUCUCACCAGGUGUUCGUUUCCCUGAGUCCAGCAAAGAGGAAAUGCAGGAUCAGAAGCAGUUAUUAAAGGAUGCCGCUGCUUUCUUACUGUCAUGCCAAAUCCCAGGCUUGGUGAAAGACUGCCUGGACCACACCAUGCUUCCGAUGGAUGGCGCUACGUUAGCAGAGGCCAUGCACCAGAGAGGCAUCAACAUGCGCUACCUAGGCAAAGUCGUCGACUUCAUCACCAAGACCCCCGCCCGCCCACAGCUGGAUCACAUCUAUAAAAUUGGAAUAAGCGAAUUGAUCACUCGAUCAGCCAAACACAUCUUCAAGACAUACCUUCAGGGCGUGGAGUUGUCUGGUUUAUCGGCAGCCAUCAGUCACUUCCUCAAUUGCUUCCUAAGCUCCUUCCUGAACCCAGUUGCCCAUCUCCCUGCUGAUGAGCUGGUCUCCAAGAAGAAGAAUAAGAAAAGGAAAAACAGGAACCUUGGAAAUGCUGAUAACACUGCCUGGUCCAGCAUGACCCCUCAGGAGCUUUGGAAGAAUAUUUGUUCUGAGGCAAAGAACUACUUUGAUUUUCAUCUUGAAUGCGAGAAUGUUGACCAAGCAGCUGAGGUGUAUAACCUCCAGAAAAUCACCCUUCUACGUGAGAUCUCCCUCAAAACUGGAAUCCAGAUCCUGUUGAAAGAGUAUAACUUCGAUAACCGGCACAAACCCACCUUCACAGAGGAGGAUAUUCUCAACAUCUUCCCAGUCGUGAAGCAUGUAAACCCCAAAGCUUCAGAUGCUUUCCACUUCUUCCAGAGCGGGCAAGCAAAGGUCCAGCAAGGUUUCUUGAAGGAGGGUUGUGAGCUCAUCAACGAAGCCUUAAACUUGUUUAACAAUGUGUACGGUGCUAUGCACGUGGAAAUCUGUGCCUGCCUUCGGCUGCUGGCUCGCCUCAACUAUAUCAUGGGAGACUACUCAGAGGCCUUAAGUAAUCAACAGAAAGCGGUGCUAAUGAGUGAGAGGGUCCUGGGCAUUGAGCAUCCCAACACAAUCCAAGAAUAUAUGCACCUUGCUUUGUAUUGCUUUGCCAACAGCCAACUCUCCACAGCAUUAAACUUACUGUACCGCGCACGCUACCUCAUGCUGUUGGUAUUUGGAGAAGACCACCCAGAAAUGGCACUCUUAGACAACAACAUUGGUUUGGUGCUUCACGGGGUUAUGGAAUACGACCUGUCCCUCCGAUUCCUGGAGAAUGCUCUAGCGAUCAACUCCAAGUAUCACGGCUUCAAGUCUCUGAAGGUGGCACUGAGCCAUCACUUGGUAGCCCGAGUGUACGAGAGUAAAGCAGAAUUCCGAUCAGCUCUACAGCAUGAAAAGGAAGGCUACACAAUCUACAAAAAUCAGCUUGGAGAACACCAUGAAAAGACCAAAGAAAGCUCUGAGUACUUGAAAUACCUGACUCAGCAAGCAGUGGCUCUUCAACGCACAAUGAAUGAGAUCUACAAGAAUGGAUCCAAUGCUAACAUUAUGCCACUUAAGUUCACCGCUCCCAGUAUGGCGAGCGUGCUGGAGCAGCUCAACAUUAUCAAUGGAAUUCUUUUCAUUCCACUCAGCCAAAAGGACUUGGAGAACCUUAAAGCAGAGGUGCAGCGACGCCAGCAGCUCCAAGAGGCCGUGAAGAACAGCGAACAGCUGGAAGCAGAAGAUGCAGUCUCCGAGGAGAGAGCGGCUGAGCCGAGCAUGCCUUCUGCUGAGGUCCCCCCAGCACAGAGCUCUGCUUAAAGUGUACCUCGCUUAAAAACCACAAAAUUUAAACCCUCCCCUUUUUCUGAAUCUGAACCAGGGUCUUGGACUCCCCUGGGGCAGCUUCUCCUUUGUUUGACAAUGUUAUUGCACUGGUACAAUUAAUACACAAUGCAAAGAACGAAGUUGAGAACUAGAAUCUGACUGCGCUCGUGUCCACCACGCGAAGGGGGAAAGGUGGCCAGGAUGCAGCAGCAUACGAAAGAACAUCCUAGUGACUUAAGGAACGGGAUCAGGACAGGUCAGAAAAGAGUCAGUUCUGGUCUCUGCUCUUCCAGAUUCACGGUGACCUUGGAUAUGUAGUUUCACCACUUGGCUUCACUUAUCCCAUCUAUAAGAGAGGAUACUACCAUCCAUCCCACGAGUGUUGAGGAUUAAUGAAUGUGUUUUGGGUCAAGAGAGAUUUCACACAUCUGAAUAAAAGUGUUAAUGAAUAGAAAGUAUUAGUAAAUUUUUCUGAAAUAAUUUUAACACAAAUCUCAUCCAGAAAAACUGUGUGUAUUGUUUUGACAAGUCCACAAAAAAAAAAACUUUGACCAUAUCAACAAUUUGUCCAUUCAUGUAGAGGUUCUUAAACAUUUAAGAUAAAUGCAAAAUAACUCAAAAAAAUACUGCCUCCAGUUAAGAUGUUGGGGCAGAAGUUAAUACUUCUAAAGCUUCAGGUACAAUGAUUUGAAUAAUCUUGAGGCAGCAGUUUAAGAGUAUUAAUUUAAACAACUUCCUAUGUUAACAAGAAAUUCUAGUAUUCCCCAAGAAUUAGGUUACUAACGAGGUUUUAAUAGUAAAUGCAUAAUGUCUUGCAUACCAGAUAUCUAUGAAUAAAACAGGAAGACUCACUGAAAAAAGUAAAUCUUGAAGAAUUUAAACUCCCACUAAAAAAAAGUUAGCCAUUUCUGGGGAUAUGAAAAAAGUCUGAGGAAUGCUAGUUUAGGAGAUUUUCUGUACUUCAUACUGCUCCAUCAAAGUGAUAUCCAUUUGAAUGGUCAUUUUAAAAAAGGAAACGGGAAAAAAGUUCAAACAAUGAAAUUAUGAAGUAUGGAGUAAAGCCAUUUCGCCCAUACCCAUGUUAACUGAAAGAACAUGGUUUAUAAAAAACAAAUACCCUAUAUGCUGGACAUAUGUACAGAGGUUCUGAAAUACUGCAGUAACCAAGGAUCAUUAUAGCAAGGGAAAAAACAGAGGCAACAACACAUGGCAUGCUUAAGGUGAAUACAGCCCUCAUUCACCUACUGCUGAAUGACUCAGUGAUGCUUAAAGAACAGCAGAUGCUUCACUGAAGACUCUGGGCACGAGAACAUAAGAGCGGCCAUACUGGGUCAGAUUAAAGGUUCAUCUAGCCCAGUAACC
Molecule: non-coding RNA, 6526 nt
Organism: Chelonoidis abingdonii (Abingdon island giant tortoise)
Lineage: Eukaryota; Metazoa; Chordata; Testudines; Testudinidae
Source: RefSeq, a predicted model, not a curated record